CUCUUCUCUUCCAUUCCAGUUACCUUUCUCUUUCUUCCUUUUUCUUCUCCCUUCCGUGGCUCCCUGUCCCUGGGGAUGCGAAGACGGUGAGAUCAACAGCUGCGCGGCGCAGCUCCCGGUGGUGAGCUCCGCUCUCCCUGGCCCCCGAGAGUUGCCGUCGGCGAGCAUCUCGCGCGGCCGCCCGCGGGUGCAGCUGCUCCGCGAGUAGCGAGCGGUGGGGGACACGGCGGCCUCAGGUGACGGUGAGCGCGCGGCCCAGGCGACGGCGCAGCUGCCCCGCCGAAGCAGACGGCGGUGACGAGCACCACCACUCCCGACGGAUCCCUUUCUCUCUCAGUUUUUUCCCCAAAAAUUGUGUGUCUAUAUUUUGUUUUGGAAUUUAUGUUCCAAAUUUUGGCUCCAAAUCUUUGUUCCAAUAUUUCUCAUCGAUUUUUUGUUCAUCUAAUUAUGGUCAUAAUUUAUGUUUGGUAUAAUUUGUUCAUAAUUUAUGCAUUGUUU
Molecule: long non-coding RNA, 498 nt
Filed under: Setaria italica (foxtail millet)
Lineage: Eukaryota; Viridiplantae; Streptophyta; Magnoliopsida; Poales; Poaceae
Description: long non-coding RNA (SITA_LNC003642)
Source: RNAcentral